CGUAACAAGGUUUCCGUAGGUGAACCUGCGGAAGGAUCAUUUUUGUACUUGCACAGGCCGAACGACCCGUGAACGAGUGAAAACCCCCCCGGGGGGGCGAGGGAGCANUCGGCCCGAUCGGCUUUCCGCUUCCGCCCCCCCGGCCAUCGGGAUGCGUCGUCGACCUCGUGGACUCUCCCUCCCGGGUGUGGCCGUGGGAUCGAUCGCGCACCUCUCGAUCAAAAAACGAACCCCGGCGCGAGAAGCGCCAAGGAACUCUAACGGAACGGGCGCUCGUCGCAGCCUCGGCAUCGGGGCGCGUGGGACGGGCGUCGUCGUUUUGAAACUCAAUGAAACGACUCUCGGCAACGGAUAUCUAGGCUCUCGCAUCGAUGAAGAACGUAGCAAAAUGCGAUACUUGGUGUGAAUUGCAGAAUCCCGUGAAUCAUCGAGUCUUUGAACGCAAGUUGCGCCUGAAAGCCACUAGGCCGAGGGCACGUCUGCCUGGGCGUCACGCACUCGUCGCCCCCAAGCCCCCCCUAUGCGGGGCGUUGGGGGCGGAUGUUGGCCUCCCGUGGGUGACAACGCCCGUGGUUGGCCCAAAUUCGGUCCCGCGGCGGCAUGCGCCACGACAAGCGGUGGUUGUCCAAACACUCGGACCGCUCCCACCCCGGAGCCGCUUGGUGUCGCGCGCGCAGCCUCGUCGUCGGAGCCCCGGAAAAGAUGACACGGACCCUCGAUCGCGACCCCAGGUCAGGCGGGAACACCCGCUGAGUUUAAGCAUAUCAAUAA
Molecule: ribosomal RNA, 771 nt
Filed under: Leea asiatica
Lineage: Eukaryota; Viridiplantae; Streptophyta; Magnoliopsida; Vitales; Leeaceae
Description: eukaryotic LSU rRNA
Rfam family: 5.8S ribosomal RNA (bases 337-493)
Source: RNAcentral